UGAUGCACACUGGGCCCUGGUGGUAGCUUUAUCAGACAUGAUGACGUCCAGCAUAAACGUGGGCCCCUGAUGGGAGAUAGCUGUAAAAUAUCUGUGAUCAUAUGCAGCAGAAAGAACAAAGCUAAAAAGUGUCAGGGUUCUGUUGUGUCCUGCUCUGGUUGCUUCCACAGGUAGUGGCUGAGGGGGCGUGCCCCACACCUGCGGCUCAUCAGAGGCAGCUUCCUCUGACUACUUAAGCAGCGCGCAGACAGACGGAAGAUGCCAGAGCCUUAAACCAGUCGUGUUUUUGUGUGCAUGGAUGCACUUACCUGUCCUGAAGCCCCGAGAAGAAUUCGAACCAGUGGAAUCAUCAGCUCAGAUCCUGCUCUGGCGCUCCCCCUCUUACUCCCUUGGCGUUAUCAAGACGGGCUCGAGGUCCCCUUCCCGGAUUCCACUGGUACUCCCAAGACUCUUGGACUCUGGUCAAUCCGUCUGUCACCCACGCCUGCUGAGGUUUGCCUCGGGUCACUCGCCAGCUCCAUCUGCCACCCUCCAGCCACUACCGCCAACUAGAGUAGGCACUCAGUUCCCUCAGCACCUACCCUUCCCCGGUUAGGUCUACCCUGCUUCAUGUUAACCCCGCCUAGACGUUCAGGCCUCGUUCAGCCAACUAGUUGUCGUAUUUUGUUACUGCACAUUCCUUUAAUAAACACCUUUAACUCAACUCUGGUCUCCUGUCCUUAUCU
Molecule: long non-coding RNA, 725 nt
Organism: Fundulus heteroclitus (mummichog)
Lineage: Eukaryota; Metazoa; Chordata; Actinopteri; Cyprinodontiformes; Fundulidae
Exons: 3
Source: RefSeq, a predicted model, not a curated record